AUUCCCGUACUUCUUACAAUUGCGAUGGGGGGACGGAGAAGGCUAGGUGGGCCUGGCGACGGUUGUCCAGGUUCAAGUGCGUAGGCUGAAGAGUUAGGUAAAUCCGGCUCUCUUUAAGGCUGAGACACGACGUCGAGCACCUACGGGUGUGAAGUCAUUGAUGCCAUGCUUCCAGGAAAAGCCUCUAAGCUUCAGAUUGUAAGGAAUCGUACCCCAAACCGAC
This 223-nucleotide ribosomal RNA is filed under the name Vibrio parahaemolyticus. RNAcentral describes it as "partial 23S ribosomal RNA". It matches the Rfam family "Bacterial large subunit ribosomal RNA", at positions 1435 to 1658 of the family's 2925-position model. The record is from RNAcentral. Lineage: Bacteria; Pseudomonadati; Pseudomonadota; Gammaproteobacteria; Vibrionales; Vibrionaceae.